ACAAACUUUACUUUACUUUUACUUUAGGUUAUGUUGUGUUUAUAUACUUGUGCCUUAUGGUUUUGUAAUCUUAUGAGUUGUUUCAUUCUGAGUGUGGUGUGUGUGUUGUUUUGUUUGUGUCUUGUACCACCACUGCCACAGGGCAUAAACCCAUUUGCAGUUGAUAAUAAAUAAUAAUAAUAUGACAUUUGUUGUCAAUUUAGGAUUAUUUUUGUUGACUAAUUUUUUCCCUCGCCUGUAGGAAGAUUUCCUAUCUAUUUUCUUUUGUUGAAGCAAACCACUGUGUUUGUGGCCAUUGCCUUCAAUAUCAUAAGAAUUCAGUUUCUUCCAUUCUAUUCUGGAUCAGGAAGUUUAUAACAUUAUCUAGUAGAAUAAUGAACAGAAUGAAAUUACACAGACUACUAAUUUACAUACGUUUAUUAUAUUUUAUUUAUCGAUAAGUUAGAUGAGUUAAUGUGGAAUAAAUGGAGCAGCUCAGUCAGUAUAGUGACUUGCUACGGACUGGGUGACGAGUUCAAUCCCUGACAGGUAGGAGAUUUUCCUCUAGCCUCUGUGUCUAGAAUGGCUCUGGGGCCCACCCAGCCUCCUAUGCAAUGGGUACUGGGAUCCUUUUCUGGUGGUAAAGCAGGCCGGGGCGUGACACUAACCACUUACCCCUGGCUAGUGCCAAGGUUAAAAAUUAGUAGCAGCUAUAUAGCACACAGAGGGACAAUAACAAUACAAUACAUUAAACAAAUACAUUUCAUACUGUUAGUAAAGAUUUCACUUAUGCAAAGGGAUCACAAAACCACAUUACAUAUGAUGGUAUGGCUCCUACUCUUACGUUGGAACUAGAAAAUGACUUCUGGAGUGUAUUUGCUAGGUGGAGGUAUUUAUGUAUUUGUGAGGUGUACAGUGGUGUUAAACAUUUAAUAGUAUCUCAUGGCUGUAUGUAUUCAGACAGAGGAAUGACCCGAAGACCGACCCUGGGGCCCACCAAGCCUCGUAUACGUUGGGUACUGUGGGUCUUCUUCGGGAGUUUAAGCUGACAUUAAGAACGCGUGGAACUGCACAUGGAGACCUAAAAUACAUCGUUGUGCCAUGCAUGACAUAUUAAGCUCACAGACAACUCCACAUUUUGACCAUCUUCAUGCCUUUAUUAUGCCACGUUUUGAUAGUGUGGCUGUGCGCUUCCUCCGAGGUAUGAGCCAAGGAGUGACAGCAGUGUGAAGGGACAUGAAUCAUUUCACAAGCAGACGACUCCCGGGUCUGAUGCGGGGCGAUGCCACAGUCAAGAUGAAGUUGCAACAAAGUUCAGGGUAACUAUUCUCGUGUAAUUAACUCCGAAGAGUAGGGUCUUCCUUUAACCAUCAAAGGCACUCAACUGAUCAAGAACAAGUAGGUUCAUUACCGUGUUCAAAAGAACAUGCCACUGGACCUUAUCCUCAGUCAGAUAAAUCCAGUCUGCAUCUUCAGAACCCUCCCAAGUUGUCCCCAUGCAAGCUACCAUCUCGUCUUCAUCGAUUCAGUCAUGAAGUGCUCAAGAUGGGAACAUACACGGCUGUCGUGUGUCUGUCUGUUUACAUAUUUGAACUCAAGAACUGCUGGAGAGGUUUUUAUGGAGUUUGGUAUGGAAGUUAUGCAAUUAUAGACUGCCACAGGUACAUCCUUUUCAUUUUAUUACAGUUGAUAAUAACAUUACACAUUUGUGGGAUGAGAGUCACAUUAAAACAAAAAAAAAACUAAUUACAAAUGAAAUGUAGUAAUGUUCAAAUGUUCUGGGGAGAAUUUAUUGAAGUUUAUCAAACAUUGGAUGAACACUAUGUAAAAUGCUGCCUUGUCCACGCUGAAAUAAAUGUUGAAAUCGUA
This is a non-coding RNA of Zootermopsis nevadensis, 1848 nucleotides long. The record is from RefSeq and is a predicted model, not a curated record. NCBI's taxonomy places the organism in Eukaryota, Metazoa, Arthropoda, Insecta, Blattodea, Termopsidae.